This 253-nucleotide ribosomal RNA is filed under the name uncultured bacterium. RNAcentral describes it as "partial 16S ribosomal RNA". It matches the Rfam family "Bacterial small subunit ribosomal RNA", at positions 524 to 776 of the family's 1533-position model. The record is from RNAcentral.
UACGUAGGGGGCAAGCGUUGUCCGGAAUCAUUGGGCGUAAAGCGCGUGUAGGCGGAUUUGUAAGUCAGGGGUGAAAUCCCGAGGCUCAACCUCGGGUCUGCAGUCGAUACGGGCAAACUGGAGUGUUGCAGGGGAGACUGGAAUUCCUGGUGUAGCGGUGGAAUGCGCAGAUAUCAGGAGGAACACCAACGGCGAAGGCAGCUCGCUGGGACGGUACUGACGCUGAGGCGCGAAAGCGUGGGGAGCGAACAGG